GGUUCUGUGGUCUAAUGGUUAUGACGUCUGCUUCACACCUAUGGUUAGGGAUUUUAUCGCUGAAGGCUCCCGGUUCAUCCCGGGCAGAAUCA
Molecule: non-coding RNA, 92 nt
Organism: Fomitopsis serialis
Lineage: Eukaryota; Fungi; Basidiomycota; Agaricomycetes; Polyporales; Fomitopsidaceae
Source: the annotation of a RefSeq genome assembly